GCUGGCGCUCGGAAAUUGUGUCGUGGUGGUGGCGCCCCCUGGCGGCGGCGGCGCCGCACAGCGGCUACGGAAGGCUCUGGUGGCCGCGGGGCUCCCGGGUGAUGCCCUGACGGUGCUUCCCGGGGAUUCCCGGGGGUCCGGCUCUCGCCUGGCGCGACAGCACCCGGACGGGCUCUGGAUCUGCGGGGGGGACGCGGACUGCGACUGGGCCGCUGCCGUGAGCGUCCCCCGCGUUUGGGGGGUCCCGGAGGG
Sturnus vulgaris (Common starling) is the source of this 252-nucleotide non-coding RNA. The record is from RefSeq and is a predicted model, not a curated record. NCBI's taxonomy places the organism in Eukaryota, Metazoa, Chordata, Aves, Passeriformes, Sturnidae.